AUAAAAUAGUUUACAUUGCAGUGUUUUUGUUCCUUGAUCAAACUGUGCAGAUCCCAGCUCACGAUAAACACCGCAAUCGUCUAUAUGCACCGGUUUUACAUGCUCAAUUCCUUUACGAAGUUCCAUAGAAAUAUCAUUUCUCCCACCACGCUCUUCCUGGCCGCUAAGGUGGAGGAACAACCGAGGAAACUUGAACACGUUAUUAAAGUAGCCACAUGCUUGCCUGAACCCCACAGGACCCUCCGUUGGACACCAAGAGCAAUGUGAGUGUGGGGGUUUAUGGGUGAUGUAGUUUCGCUCUCCGCUUUAGUCAUCAUUUUAGCUAGCUACAUGCUUUGACAGUUACAUCACAUGGGCUGGGAAUCAAUGUGUGUACAAACAGAGAACUUUGUUCCAUAGAUUUGAUGUGUUCCUAAAUUUACAUAAUGUCAACAUUAAGUGACAUUUGCAGUGGCUUCAAUUUGCAUAAUGUGUCAUUUCUCAGGGAAACUGAAUAUUUUGAAUGAAGUGUUGUUGGACUGUUUAUUGGAUCAUUUUUCCAAUUCAGAUGGCCUGAACAUUUUUUUCAUCUGUUACAUUGAUAGAUAUUAAAAACAAACAAAUUCUCUCUCUCUCUCUUUUUUUUUUUUUUUUUUUUUUAGAAUGCAAGUAAAUGGGGCUUAUUUUGAUUGGACAUGUUUGUAGGAAAAACGGUUUCUUUUUAAUUUCUUAAAGUAUAGAAUAUAUUUACAUGUAUGUAUGUAAAUAUGUAUGUGGAGAUGUGCCCAUUUUUUUUCUUACGAGUUAUACAGAAUAAGUUUAGGAGCAUUUAUAAUGAAAGUAAAUGGGGCUCUUUUUGAUUUUA
Long non-coding RNA from Cyprinus carpio (common carp), 844 nucleotides. RefSeq lists it as uncharacterized. The transcript is spliced from 2 exons. Lineage: Eukaryota; Metazoa; Chordata; Actinopteri; Cypriniformes; Cyprinidae. The record is from RefSeq and is a predicted model, not a curated record.